This 73-nucleotide transfer RNA is filed under the name Ailuropoda melanoleuca (giant panda). It matches the Rfam family "tRNA". From Rfam's summary of the family: Transfer RNA (tRNA) molecules are approximately 80 nucleotides in length. Their secondary structure includes four short double-helical elements and three loops (D, anti-codon, and T loops). Lineage: Eukaryota; Metazoa; Chordata; Mammalia; Carnivora; Ursidae. The record is from Rfam by way of RNAcentral.
ACCUGGCUGGCUCAGUUGGUAGGGCAUGUGACUCUUGAUCUCAGGGUCAUGAGUUCAAGCCCCACGCUGGGCG